AACUGAGAUCUUCAUGAAAAAUCACUUGGACCAAACCUGUGGAAUAUUUCCACAUGCAAGGUUGACUUCCAUGUGCGCGCGCGCGCGUGCUUUGCUUGUUUUCUUGUGUUGUUUAGCUUUCUUCUAGACUUGACCGCCCUCUUCAUAAGACUUGUUCACCUCCAAGCCGUCCGUACGACCUGACAGACACCAGAUCAUCAAAUCGACGAGUCGCCAUCAAGCACACUACGUACGGCGUAUGGAGUACUAGUAUAUAGCUAAAAAAAGAAGGGGAAAAAACAAAUCAGUUUUCUCAACGCAUAGGAAUUCCAUGAUCAUUGAGACUGCACGUAGACUAUACACACCGGGUGGCGUAUUUAUUUAUAUGCAGAAUAAGCCGAUAAAAAAAAUAAGAAAUCCACGAGAAGAAUCAACGUCUAUCAUAACUUCUUGGAAAGAGAAACAUCUCUUACUCUCUUAGUGUGGUGGUGGAGUUGUGGAUGCAUGACUUCAUCCAUUAAUUAGGGUUCAAAUUCUGGUGCUUGUGAAAAAGUUUGAAUUAAUUUCAUUACAGUAGUUUGC
RNAcentral lists this long non-coding RNA (561 nucleotides) under Brachypodium distachyon (stiff brome). RNAcentral describes it as "long non-coding RNA (BDIS_LNC004198)". Lineage: Eukaryota; Viridiplantae; Streptophyta; Magnoliopsida; Poales; Poaceae. The record is from RNAcentral.